GUGCGAGACCGAUAGCGAACAAGUACCGUGAGGGAAAGAUGAAAAGAACUUUGAAAAGAGAGUUAAAGAGUACCUGAAACUGCUGAAAGGGAACCGAAUCGUUUCCAGUGUCUAUAAUCCAUGGUAUAUUUCAUUGGCGAGUGAGUGCGUGCAGCGUUUUGGAAGCGGUCUCCGCUCCUGUCGUUGUUGUGCAUUUGCUUGCUGGUGCCCUGUGCUGUGGUGGGACGUCAGAGUCAGUUUGUAUGUUGCGGGAAAUGGUUAUCAGGGAGGUAGGUCGCUUCGGUGGCUGUUAUAUCCUGGUAACUAGCCGUCGUGGCUGAGACUGAGGUGCCUACAACGCGCUUUCGAGUCUGCGGGCUUCUCGUGUGGCUGUUUGCUUUGAUAGCUUGCUAUGUUGGUGAAUAAGUCGUGCGAUUGAGACCUGUAGUAACUUGUUGCUGUUCGGGACUUUGAG
Molecule: ribosomal RNA, 454 nt
Filed under: uncultured rhizosphere oomycete
Lineage: Eukaryota; Oomycota
Description: eukaryotic LSU rRNA
Rfam family: Eukaryotic large subunit ribosomal RNA
Source: RNAcentral